This 497-nucleotide ribosomal RNA is filed under the name uncultured bacterium. RNAcentral describes it as "partial 16S ribosomal RNA". It matches the Rfam family "Bacterial small subunit ribosomal RNA", at positions 28 to 507 of the family's 1533-position model. The record is from RNAcentral.
GAUGAACGCUGGCGGCGUGCCUAAUACAUGCAAGUCGAGCGAACGGACGAGAAGCUUGCUUCUCUGAUGUUAGCGGCGGACGGGUGAGUAACACGUGGAUAACCUACCUAUAAGACUGGGAUAACUUCGGGAAACCGUAGCUAAUACCGGAUAAUAUUUUGAACCGCAUGGUUCAAAAGUGAAAGACGGUCUUGCUGUCACUUAUAGAUGGAUCCGCGCUGCAUUAGCUAGUUGGUAAGGUAACGGCUUACCAAGGCAACGAUGCAUAGCCGACCUGAGAGGGUGAUCGGCCACACUGGAACUGGGACACGGUCCAGACUCCUACGGGAGGCAGCAGUAGGGAAUCUUCCGCAAUGGGCGAGAGCCUGACGGAGCAACGCCGCGUGAGUGAUGAAGGUCUUCGGAUCGUAAAACUCUGUUAUUAGGGAAGAAUAUAUGUGUAAGUAACUGUGCACAUCUUGACGGUACCUAAUCAGAAAGCCACGGCUAACUACGUG